This is a long non-coding RNA of Homo sapiens (human), 488 nucleotides long. RefSeq lists it as uncharacterized. NCBI's taxonomy places the organism in Eukaryota, Metazoa, Chordata, Mammalia, Primates, Hominidae. The record is from RefSeq and is a predicted model, not a curated record. The transcript is spliced from 2 exons.
UCCUGUAUUUAUUAUAUGUUUUCUGUAAACAAAAUAUAAUUAGGUUUUGUUUUUUACUCAGUCUGACUCUGAUGAGACAAAAAUUGAUAUGGCUUAUUUGGAAGACACUGCCUCCCAAACCAAUACAAGUAAACAUCUAGGUGACAGAAAACUUUAGAAAGAUAGUUUGAGGCCAGAUUUUGGAGAGUCUUUCAGUAUCAAAGUAAAAAUUUCUGUUUGUAUCUUCUAAGUUCCAGGGAACCAUUGAAGGAUUUUUAUUUUUUUAUUGUUAUUAUUUUCAUUAAAGGGUUUUAAACAGGUGAACAAUACGUCUUUUAAGAAGGUUAAGUCAACAAGAUUCAAAUGGAGCAGCAAGCACUAGAGACAAUAAAGAAGUGAAGAAUCAAGUGAGAAUGGAGGAGGUGAAGCUCUUAUCACUAAAAAAAUGUUUAAGUUACUGCUGCAGAUGGUAAGCAUGUAAUAAAUGGCAGCUUUAAGGACUAUUUCAA